AGUUGAGCGGAGAUAUAUGGAGCUUGCUUUAUAUAACUUAGCAGCGAACGGGUGAGUAACACGUAGAUAAUCUAUCCUAUACUGGGGGAUAGCCCGAUGAAAGUUGGAUUAAUACCGCAUAUAGCUAUAUAGUUGCAUGAUUAUGUAGUGAAAGAUUUAUUGGUAUAGGAGGAGUCUGCGGCACAUUAGCUAGUAGGUGAGGUAAAGGCUUACCUAGGCGACGAUGUGUAGCCGGUCUGAGAGGAUGAACGGCCACAAUGGAACUGAGACACGGUCCAUACUCCUACGGGAGGCAGCAGUGGGGAAUAUUGCACAAUGGGGGAAACCCUGAUGCAGCAACGCCGCGUGAGUGAAGAAGGUUUUCGGAUUGUAAAGCUCUGUUAGCAGGGAAGAGGAAGGA
Molecule: ribosomal RNA, 400 nt
Filed under: uncultured bacterium
Lineage: Bacteria
Description: bacterial SSU rRNA
Rfam family: Bacterial small subunit ribosomal RNA
Source: RNAcentral